UCUAUUGUUCUUUCAUCUCUAUCUCUUCUUAAUUUCUCUCCUUCUCUCUCUUCUUCACGUACUUUCUCAUCUAGUAAACAACAGAUAAGAAAAAGAAUUAGAGAGACGGAGAAAGAAGCUAUGACACGUAAUACAAAUAUAUCAAAAUAUUCUAUACAAGAAAGAGAGAGAG
Molecule: non-coding RNA, 172 nt
Filed under: uncultured Mallomonas
Lineage: Eukaryota; Synurophyceae; Synurales; Mallomonadaceae
Source: RNAcentral